This 498-nucleotide ribosomal RNA is filed under the name uncultured Entrophospora. RNAcentral's name for it is "SSU rRNA". It matches the Rfam family "Eukaryotic small subunit ribosomal RNA", at positions 569 to 1062 of the family's 1831-position model. Lineage: Eukaryota; Fungi; Glomeromycota; Glomeromycetes; Entrophosporales; Entrophosporaceae. The record is from RNAcentral.
AGCAGCCGCGGUAAUUCCAGCUCCAAUAGCGUAUAUUAAAGUCGUUGCAGUUAAAAAGACUCGUAGUUGAAUUUCGGGAUUGGCGCAUCGGUCGUGCCUCACGGGGUAUGAACUGGUGCAGUCAAUUUCUCACCUUCUGGAGAACCGCGAUGUCCUUAAUUGGAUGCCGCGGGGAACCAGGACCUUUACUUUGAAAAAAAUUAGAGUGUUUAAAGCAGGCAUUUUUGCUUGAAUACAUUAGCAUGGAAUAAUAAAAUAGGACGGCAUGGUUCUAUUUUGUUGGUUUCUAGGACCACCGUAAUGAUUAAUAGGGAUAGUUGGGGGCAUUAGUAUUCAAUUGUCAGAGGUGAAAUUCUUGGAUUUAUUGAAGACUAACUACUGCGAAAGCAUUUGCCAAGGAUGUUUUCAUUAAUCAAGAACGAAAGUUAGGGGAUCGAAGACGAUCAGAUACCGUCGUAGUCUUAACCAUAAACUAUGCCGACUAGGAAUCAGACGAUG